Pristionchus pacificus is the source of this 61-nucleotide non-coding RNA. NCBI's taxonomy places the organism in Eukaryota, Metazoa, Nematoda, Chromadorea, Rhabditida, Neodiplogasteridae. The record is from Rfam.
UCUUCAUUCCUCGUACUCUCUCACCGGUCAGAGAGGCGAGAGAGUGUGCGAAAUGAAGAGA